CCUCUCCGCCGCCUUUCUCCUUCCUCCUUAUUGUAUUCCGGGUGUGUGGCCGGCCGGGCACCGCAGUUCGGCUCAGGGCGCAAAAUGCGCACAGUUGGAGGCGCAGCGGAGCAAGGGGACGCGCGCGGGAGCGCACAGGUCCGAGGAGAGCGACGCGCUCACGAUAAUGGGCAGAAGGCUACCGCUGUGUGGCCGAAGGAGAAACUACUGAGUGCACCUCGUCCCUCACAGGUUCCAUCUGAGGCUCCGAACAAUCACUGACAUGACGAGAAAAAACUUUUUAAAGUUUUUGCUGCAUGCGAACACAAAACUCCAAACUCUUCCAAAACUAACAGCAGUGUGACAGUUUCCCCGGGUCACCUCAGGUCGGCAGACUCUAAUCACGGUCCAGCUCCCAGCUGAAAGCCUGAAUCUGCCGCUGUCAACUCUGCGCGGCGCGGAGCGCAGAUAAGCGCAGAGCGCGCGCAGCCCUCCAGAAAACAAGCCGCUGGGAGGAAGCGGGCGCUGCUGCAGCGCUGCAGCCGCCCCUGCAGCCCCUCUUACCUGCACUCAGUCUGGAGACAUCCGCCGGACCGCAGCAGUCAGUUCAGACAGCCUUCCAAUCCCGUGCGUAAAGUCACCAUCGCUGGAGCGCGUCGCGGACUUCGGUAACUCCUCUGUUGCUGCGCGCGGCGCCGAAGAUCAGGGAAGAAGAAGAA
Molecule: long non-coding RNA, 698 nt
Organism: Salarias fasciatus (jewelled blenny)
Lineage: Eukaryota; Metazoa; Chordata; Actinopteri; Blenniiformes; Blenniidae
Exons: 2
Source: RefSeq, a predicted model, not a curated record